CUGUCUUGUUGCCGAUAGAGAGAGAGAGAGAGCGAGUAGUGGCUUCCUUUUUCUCGUUUUCUUCUUCCUGUGUGAGAGAGAGAGAGGCGACGCUGGCGAUUUCGGGAGGAGACGCGGCGGCGAUUCCGGGAGGAGACACGGCGGCGAUUCCGGGAGGAGACGCGACGGCUUCGCCGGUGAUCUCCUCCGCUCUUUCUCCGAUGGUGAAACAGAAGCGUGUAAAGUUGGAUAUUCUAGAAGAAAUUAUGUCUUCCCAAUCUGAUUCUGCCCUAAAUGACACUGAUUCUGGUUCCCAAUCUAAAGACAUUCCAGAUAAUAAUAGAAAUUUCGAUAAAGAUGCCAAAACUGAUUAUGUUUUCACUAGGUUCUCUGUGAACUGGAUUGCCAAUCAUGUCGAUGUCAAAACUUGUGAUAUCAUUGUCAAUGACAAAGUAAUUCCAAUGUCAAAAGAAUCAGUCAACAUUAUUCUUGGACUACCAGUUGGUGGAACAGAAAUUAGUUCUAAUUUUGAAGCUGGGAAGAAGAAGUUUCUUGAAGUUUUUGGUUUAACAACUAUGCCUCCUGUUAAGUUCUUUGGAGACAAGUUAAGUCAACAAGAAGAUAUGAUUGACGAUCAGAUUCUAUUCUGCUUCAUCAUUGUUUCUCUCAACUGCUUUCUUUGUCCCAACUCUUGCUCAGUACCAAGUAGAAAAUAUCUUAGUGUUUUUGAGGAUAUUGAGGCCAUUGAUAACUUUGAUUGGAGCAAGCUAAUAUUUGAUUGGUUGAUGGAUCAUCUGAAAAAACUAAACAGAUCUAAAAGCCUUGAUGGUUGCUUCUUUUGCCUUGCGAGUGUUGUGUUGAACUUUGGUUUAAGGAAGUUGCCAUGUGAUAUUCCACGGAUAAAUGUUUGGAAAGGAAAUAUGAUUAAAGAAUUUUCAAGUUUUGAUAAAAAAUCUAAAGGAAUAUAUGGCAGAAGACCAGUCUUAGAUUUUUCUGAUACUUGUUACAAAAAGAUUGGUUCAAAUUGUUCAAAAGUUGAAGAGAAGAAGAGUCAUUCAUCUUUUAAAGAAAUGCUUGAAUCAUCAGUUGGCUCUAUGUUAUCUUCUGAGAUAAAAGAGAACAUAUGCAAUUUGCUUAUACAACAUUUUUUCGAUGUGCUGGACAUAUGUAAUGAAGAGGACAUAUGUAAUGAAGAGGACAUGGUUGACGAUAGGCCAAAAAAGUUUGUUAUCGAUGUGCUGGUUUUGUUAGCAAAUGAAAGUACCAAAGUUUCAACUGACAAUGAUAACAGUACAUCAGCUGUCAAUGAUAAAUUAGGCAAUGGUGACCAAUCUACACAGCUAGAUAAAUGUGAUCAUAAUCAAUGUAACUUAGCUGAAGAACAGGGUAACAGUGUUGCUGUUUCAGUGAAGGAAAAUUUGGACAGAAAUCUUGAAAACAACAGUGAUCACCACCACAUAAAACCAAUUUUAUCUCAUGAUGAUAUGCCAAAAUUUCAAAUCUGGGAUUCUGAAGAUGAUGUUGAUGCUUUGGAUAAUGAAGAAUUCACACCUAUUUGUUAUGUCAAAAAGUCUUCAAUUGUUCCUAAUUCCUUCUCUCCAAAUUCUAAUGAAGUUGUUGUCAAACAGAAGGAUUCUCCAGAUUGUGUCAUUCUUGGAGAAAGGAAGUUUUCUGAUAAAAUUUCAAAUUUGACAAACCAAACAAACUUUAUGUAUAACAACCUCAACAAAUUCCACAAUCAAGAUCAGAAAGUUGCUGUUGAUAUUGACCAUGUCCAUUGCAAGUUUACAACUUUUGGAGGAUCUUUUAAACAUGGAGCAGAAUUAUCAAAUUUUGUACUUUCUGUAUUCUGUCGGUACUUGUUCAAACAAUCUCAUCCCUCAAAAUCCAAAAGGCACUACUUCUUCUCUUCUAUUGGGGAUGAACUUCUGAAACAUCAUUCAACAACAGACUUUAAAAAUAUGAAAAAGUGCUUUGAUGGAGCAGGAUAUGCUAGGCCAGUACAUACUUGUGACAUGCUCUUCUUUCCUAUCUUACAUCAGAAGCAUUGGUUCCUCUUCAUAGCUGAUUUGAAAGACAAGAACUUUGUUUUCAUUGAUUCAUUAUUUGAUGAAGAUCAUGAAUACCAAGAGAAUGCAAGCUCUAGAUUGAUAGCAAACUUUAGAACAGUUUGGAAUAAAUUUGUUCCAAAUCACCCAAUCAAUUUUCAACAGUUCAAAACCAUUUACCCACCUCGUCCCAAGCAGACAAACCGUGUUAACUGUGGUAUUUUCAUGCUGAAAUGCAUGGAACUGUGGGCUCCAAGAAUUCUCCUUCCAAACAUGUUCUCACAAAAGGACAUUCCCAACAUAAGAAUCCAAUAUGUCAAUCAACUAUUCUUUCAUCCAAACAAUUCAGUCCUGAAUACACCAACCAAUACUUUGGUAACUGAAUAUUCUGAGGUACAAAACAUGAUUAUUUUUAGUUUGCAAAUUUAUUAUUUGUGCUAUUGUAAGGUUUUUAAAAUAUUUGAGUACCUUUUUUUGUAG
Molecule: long non-coding RNA, 2507 nt
Filed under: Oryza sativa Indica Group (long-grained rice)
Lineage: Eukaryota; Viridiplantae; Streptophyta; Magnoliopsida; Poales; Poaceae
Description: lncRNA OsMH63_07G021930
Source: RNAcentral